CGGGCAUGGGGGGGGCUACCAUGCAGUCGAGCGGAACGAGUUAUCUGAACCUUCGGGGAACGAUAACGGCGUCGAGCGGCGGACGGGUGAGUAAUGCCUAGGAAAUUGCCCUGAUGUGGGGGAUAACCAUUGGAAACGAUGGCUAAUACCGCAUAAUACCUACGGGUCAAAGAGGGGGACCUUCGGGCCUCUCGCGUCAGGAUAUGCCUAGGUGGGAUUAGCUAGUUGGUGAGGUAAUGGCUCACCAAGGCGACGAUCCCUAGCUGGUCUGAGAGGAUGAUCAGCCACACUGGAACUGAGACACGGUCCAGACUCCUACGGGAGGCAGCAGUGGGGAAUAUUGCACAGUGGGCGCAAGCCUGAUGCAGCCAUGCCGCGUGUGUGAAGAAGGCCUUCGGGUUGUAAAGCACUUUCAGUCGUGAGGAAGGUGGUGGAGUUAAUAGCUGCAUUAUUUGACGUUAGCGACAGAAGAAGCACCGGCUAACUCCGUGCCAGCAGCCGCGGUAAUACGGAGGGUGCGAGCGUUAAUCGGAAUUACUGGGCGUAAAGCGCAUGCAGGUGGUUUGUUAAGUCAGAUGUGAAAGCCCGGGGCUCAACCUCGGAAUAGCAUUUGAAACUGGCAGACUAGAGUACUGUAAAGGGGGGUAGAAUUUCAGGUGUAGCGGUGAAAUGCGUAGAGAUCUGAAGGAAUACCGGUGGCGAAGGCGGCCCCCUGGACAGAUACUGACACUCAGAUGCGAAAGCGUGGGGAGCAAACAGGAUUAGAUACCCUGGUAGUCCACGCCGUAAACGAUGUCUACUUGGAGGUUGUGGCCUUGAGCCGUGGCUUUCGGAGCUAACGCGUUAAGUAUACCGCCUGGGGAGUACGGUCGCAAGAUUAAAACUCAAAUGAAUUGACGGGGGCCCGCACAAGCGGUGGAGCAUGUGGUUUAAUUCGAUGCAACGCGAAGAACCUUACCUACUCUUGACAUCCAGAGAACUUUCCAGAGAUGGAUUGCUGCCUUCGGGAACUCUGAAACAGGUGCUGCAUGGCCUGUCGUCACCUCGUGUUGGGAAAUGUGGGGUUAAGUCCCGCAACGAAGGCAACCCUUAAUCCUUGUUUGCCAGCACUUUCGGGGGGGGAACUCCAGGGGAGACUGCCCGGUGAAAAACCCGGAAGGAAGGUGGGGACCGACUUCAAGUCCAUCAUGGCCCCUUACCAGUGAGGGCUACCACCUGGCUUCAAUGGGCGCAUACAAAGGGGCGGCCAACUUUGGGGAAGUGGACCGAAUCCCAAAAAAGUGGUUCCCUAAUCCCGGAUUCGGAGUUCGGCACUCGCACUCCGGGGAAAAUCGGGAAUUCCGGUGGAAAAUCCGGGAUACAAUAGUUGCCCGGGGUAAAAAACUUUUCCGGGGUCCUUUUUCAACCCCCCGCUCUGACAAACGGCGGUGAGGGGUUUCCGAAAAAAGGUUUGGGUUUAACCUUUUGGGGGGGGCCCUUUCACUUUUGUUGUUCGUAUUGGGUUGAAGGUUAAACACGGAAUGGUGGGGGAAAAACACAACAAUUAUAAAAAAGAAUUCGUUUCCCCCCCCCUUGUGAAUUUGGUUUUUGG
RNAcentral lists this ribosomal RNA (1591 nucleotides) under Vibrio harveyi. RNAcentral's name for it is "bacterial SSU rRNA". It matches the Rfam family "Bacterial small subunit ribosomal RNA". The record is from RNAcentral. Lineage: Bacteria; Pseudomonadati; Pseudomonadota; Gammaproteobacteria; Vibrionales; Vibrionaceae.